AGAAGGUGCCUGGCUGCCAGCCAGAGGCUUCGGCUUAACACCGCUCCGAAGAAGACCACAGAUCGUCACGCUGCCGCCAUCGCCCACGACGCCCGGAACUUCUCAACACCACGACGCUGCCGCACCAGGGGCAGAAGGGAAUCGCUGCUCCGCCACGAGAGACAGACACCAACCGGCCUCGGCCUGUGGCGGCCGCGCCGCGACCUCGGGAGUCUAUCACCUCCAUCAGCAGCCGAGGUGGGACUUAGCCGAAUUUCAACAAGCAGCGGAAGCCGGCCUGCGGAGAGCAACGCGGGAGUGAGAGAGGCUGGUGCCGACAUCGACGGGUCCCAGAAGCGACCUGCGAGGGCAGUGAAGUGAAGAGGGCGAGUGACCCCUUGAGCCGCCCGCACGAGGACAACCAGCUAGCAGGCAGUGCCCACACUCACCGCCUUCUUCUUCAUGGCGGGACAAUGGAGCCCGCCGCCGCGGCCACGCCCGCCAAGAGCACCAGGCGAGCUGGCGACGACGGGAGCACGUCCAGAGGUGCCGGCUCCGGGGAACCACACCGCGCGAACUAGGCCGACCUCACGGGCCUACAUCUCCUCUCCUCUUCCUACAGAAUUUGCCGCGUCAGGUUCGGAUUCCAAACCGACCACAAGGUCUUUUCUUUCUCUGCGAGGUUCUCCGAGUUUAGAGACCAAAACACUUUCUCCCUGGAAUGGGAGACGAGACGAACGCGGGAUUCUGCAUCUUCAACGAAAGCAGUGUACAGUCUAAAAGGCCUACCGCGGGCGCGAGGACACAGCCCGACACGACGACGGCAGCCCAGAGCGGCGGGCGAACUCCUCGGGCGCCGCGCGGGAGGUAUUUGGAACACCGUGGAGCGGAGUGCUGGGUGAGCGGGGAGGGCGCUGGCACCACCCCAAAGCAGCCAGUGUGCCGGGGCAGCGACGUGACACGCAUCCAGAAACACGCGCGGUCUCCUCGGCAGCAAGACGGAAGCCGCCCCUCCCCCCCCCCCCCCCAUCCGCCACGUUCCACGAACAACACGUUUGAAUUAACUGUGACUUGAGAAACCUGAGUUAUUAGGGUUGUUGGAAAAACCACAUUUUAAUUGAUUAAUGAAAGAUUGAACUAAAAAUUAAAGACUUUUAAGACGAAUGUUACAAACAAACGGUUAAUUAAAACCUGUAUAUUACAUGA
Molecule: long non-coding RNA, 1185 nt
Organism: Bacillus rossius redtenbacheri
Lineage: Eukaryota; Metazoa; Arthropoda; Insecta; Phasmatodea; Bacillidae
Exons: 3
Source: RefSeq, a predicted model, not a curated record